UUGUAUUAUAGCGUAUUCCUCCCAUUCAAACCUACUUCAGUGCUCUUCAUCGAGUGUUGUUGUGGGCCGGUACAAUUACUUUGAACAAAUUAGAGUGCUUAAAGCAGGCUUCAAAUGCCUGAAUAUUUGUGCAUGGAAUAAUGGAAUAAGACCUCUGUUCUACUUUCAUUGGUUUAUAGAUCAAGAGGUAAUGAUUAAUAGAAGCAGUUUGGGGGCAUUAGUAUUACGACGCGAGAGGUGAAAUUCUUGGACCGUCGUAAGACUAACUUAAGCGAAAGCAUUUGCCAAAGAUGUUUUCAUUAAUCAAGAACGAAAGUUAGAGGUUCGAAG
Molecule: non-coding RNA, 330 nt
Filed under: Megaselia scalaris
Lineage: Eukaryota; Metazoa; Arthropoda; Insecta; Diptera; Phoridae
Description: Eukaryotic small subunit ribosomal RNA
Rfam family: Eukaryotic small subunit ribosomal RNA
Source: Rfam by way of RNAcentral